Molecule: small nuclear RNA, 106 nt
Organism: Urocitellus parryii (Arctic ground squirrel)
Lineage: Eukaryota; Metazoa; Chordata; Mammalia; Rodentia; Sciuridae
Source: Ensembl
GUGCUCAGUUCAGCAGCACAUAUUCUAAAAUUGGAAUGAUACAGAGAAGAUUAGCAUGGCCCCAUGCAAGGAUGACAUGUAAAUUCAUGAAGCAUUCCAUAUUUAA